Molecule: ribosomal RNA, 494 nt
Filed under: Vibrio parahaemolyticus
Lineage: Bacteria; Pseudomonadati; Pseudomonadota; Gammaproteobacteria; Vibrionales; Vibrionaceae
Description: partial 23S ribosomal RNA
Rfam family: Bacterial large subunit ribosomal RNA
Source: RNAcentral
CGUCGUGGAGAGGGAAACAACCCAGACCGCCAGCUAAGGUCCCAAAUUACUACUAAGUGGGAAACGAUGUGGGAAGGCUCAGACAGCCAGGAUGUUGGCUUAGAAGCAGCCAUCAUUUAAAGAAAGCGUAAUAGCUCACUGGUCGAGUCGGCCUGCGCGGAAGAUGUAACGGGGCUAAGUAGUAAACCGAAGCUGCGGCAAUGUGCUUUUGCACAUUGGGUAGGGGAGCGUUCUGUAAGCGGUUGAAGGUGUGUGGUAACGCAUGCUGGACGUAUCAGAAGUGCGAAUGCUGACAUGAGUAACGAUAAAGGGGGUGAAAAACCUCCUCGCCGGAAGACCAAGGGUUCCUGUCCAACGUUAAUCGGGGCAGGGUAAGUCGACCCCUAAGGCGAGGCCGAAAGGCGUAGUCGAUGGGAAACGGGUUAAUAUUCCCGUACUUCUUACAAUUGCGAUGGGGGGACGGAGAAGGCUAGGUGGGCCUGGCGACGGUUGUC